CCUACGGGGGGCUGCAGUGGGGAAUUUUGGACAAUGGGCGCAAGCCUGAUCCAGCAAUGCCGCGUGCAGGAAGAAGGCCUUCGGGUUGUAAACUGCUUUUGUACGGAACGAAACGGUCUGGGUUAAUACCCUGGGCUAAUGACGGUACCGUAAGAAUAAGCACCGGCUAACUACGUGCCAGCAGCCGCGGUAAUACGUAGGGUGCAAGCGUUAAUCGGAAUUACUGGGCGUAAAGCGUGCGCAGGCGGUUUUGUAAGACAGGCGUGAAAUCCCCGGGCUCAACCUGGGAAUUGCGCUUGUGACUGCAAAGCUGGAGUGCGGCAGAGGGGGAUGGAAUUCCGCGUGUAGCAGUGAAAUGCGUAGAUAUGCGGAGGAACACCGAUGGCGAAGGCAAUCCCCUGGGCCUGCACUGACGCUCAUGCACGAAAGCGUGGGGAGCAAACAGGAUUAGAUACCCGAGUAGUC
This 465-nucleotide ribosomal RNA is filed under the name Weissella confusa. RNAcentral describes it as "bacterial SSU rRNA". It matches the Rfam family "Bacterial small subunit ribosomal RNA", at positions 338 to 795 of the family's 1533-position model. The record is from RNAcentral. Lineage: Bacteria; Bacillati; Bacillota; Bacilli; Lactobacillales; Lactobacillaceae.